RNAcentral lists this long non-coding RNA (330 nucleotides) under Olea europaea subsp. europaea. The record is from RNAcentral. Lineage: Eukaryota; Viridiplantae; Streptophyta; Magnoliopsida; Lamiales; Oleaceae.
NAUAACCGAAUAUUUUUUUUUUUGGUCUUUGGGAAGGUCAUUUUGGUUUUGGAUUCGGGACGAAUAGGUUCAAGAGAUGAGAGAAUUAAGGAUACCCACUCGAAAGACUAACCCAAUCUAUAAUGAUGUACCAAAAAAUACAACAUUUUUGUUACUUGACCAACCAUCAAGGGAAGCAAAUACAGCGGGUACACUAUCAAUAAGAUUGUUGAAGUAGCAAUUAAUGCAAAAACAAUCAAUUGGAAAACAAGAGUCAUGCUUUUAAUCCUCUAAGAUACCAACAAAUGAACUAUACCAUUUGAUCCCUCUAUCAGCCCAAAAAUUGUAAUA